Non-coding RNA from Cherax quadricarinatus, 949 nucleotides. The record is from RefSeq and is a predicted model, not a curated record. NCBI's taxonomy places the organism in Eukaryota, Metazoa, Arthropoda, Malacostraca, Decapoda, Parastacidae.
CUCUGGGUGUAUAUAUUGUGUGGAAGUGUAGGAGGGAGGUGGCCAGGCAGUGACGUCAGUGUUGCAGCAGACACCGAGGGGGAGAGUCACGCUGCUCGCUCUCUCUUCACUAACUUUAGUGCCACGGUGUCUGGUGUGACGACCUAGAACAAGUGGUUAGCACGAGAGGAUCUAACGACUGAAUUAACAAGUGAACAACUUGGAAGGAGGAUCACACUCCACCGCAAGAGGAUUCAACGCCCUAACAAAAACAGACUCAACCACUUGAUGAAUCAAGGCCUGAUGAACCUGGCUGUUACUGCUGGCCGCGCGCAGUCCAGCAUGCGAUUCACAGCCCGGGACUGACUUGAGGAACCUGUCAAGUUACCUCAUGACUGAAGGAUGUCGAAAAGUCUUUGACCCCUCACAUUUAUUGAAUUUUAUCUUAGAACAAGCUUAUCACCAGCUUUUCAUUAUACCCCAAUAUUAUACCCCAGUGUUACAAAUAAGUAUUAUACAUCAGCUUAACACCUUAGUAUUAAAUAUCAAUAUUAUACACUAGUAUCAUACACCGGUAUUAUACACAAGCAUUAAUCACAGUUAUAAUACACCAGCGGCGCUUUAUGACCCUUGUAGGCUCAGCGCUUCUUUUUGAUUAUAAUAUACGCCAGUAUUUUAUGACAGUAUUAUACCUUAGUUUUGCCCUCAGGAUGCAACCCAUACCGGUCGCCUAACACCCAGGUACCUAUUUACUGCUAGGUGAACAGGACACCAGGUGUCUUAAGGAAAUACGUCCUAAUGUUUUCACCCGUACCAGGAAUCGAACCACGGACCUUAAUGUGCGAAUAGAGUGCGCUAGUAAUCGAGCUACAGGACACCUCGUAAGCAGAAACAUCAGAUUUUAAUCAAAACUUUCAAAGGGCGCAAAAACAAAAAUGGCUAUAAUUAAAUAUUUGAAAUGAGUACUAUA